This 90-nucleotide transfer RNA is filed under the name Candidatus Freyarchaeota archaeon. RNAcentral's name for it is "tRNA-Arg". It matches the Rfam family "tRNA". From Rfam's summary of the family: Transfer RNA (tRNA) molecules are approximately 80 nucleotides in length. RNAcentral also lists the same sequence under 1 other name. Lineage: Archaea; Promethearchaeati; Candidatus Freyarchaeota. The record is from RNAcentral.
GGGCCCUUGGCCUAGCCAGGAUUGGUCUCCUGAAAGGGCGCAGGCCUGCGGAGCCUGUGAUCGCGGGUUCAAAUCCUGCAGGGCCCGCCA